UACGGGGGGGGCAAGCGUUGUUCGGAAUUACUGGGCGUAAAGGGCUCGUAGGCGGCCAACUAAGUCAGACGUGAAAUCCCUCGGCUUAACCGGGGAACUGCGUCUGAUACUGGAUGGCUUGAGUUUGGGAGAGGGAUGCGGAAUUCCAGGUGUAGCGGUGAAAUGCGCAGAUAUCAGGAGGAACACCGGUGGCGAAGGCGCCACUCUGGGCCGGUACUGACGCUGAGACGCGAAAGCGUGGGGAGCGAACAGG
This 253-nucleotide ribosomal RNA is filed under the name uncultured bacterium. RNAcentral's name for it is "partial 16S ribosomal RNA". It matches the Rfam family "Bacterial small subunit ribosomal RNA", at positions 524 to 776 of the family's 1533-position model. The record is from RNAcentral.